GCAAGUCGAACGCGACUCUAUUCUUCGGGAUAGAUGAAAGUGGCGCACGGGUGCGUAACGCGUAUGCAACCUACCCUUAACUGGGGGAUAGCCCGGAGAAAUUCGGAUUAAUACCCCAUAGUAUUACAGAUUGGCAUCAUGAAGUAAUUAAAGAUUUAUUGGUUAAGGAUGGGCAUGCGUGACAUUAGCUAGUUGGUAAGGUAAUGGCUUACCAAGGCAACGAUGUCUAGGGGUUCUGAGAGGAUGAUC
Molecule: ribosomal RNA, 249 nt
Filed under: uncultured bacterium
Lineage: Bacteria
Description: partial 16S ribosomal RNA
Rfam family: Bacterial small subunit ribosomal RNA
Source: RNAcentral